Oncorhynchus nerka (sockeye salmon) is the source of this 1064-nucleotide long non-coding RNA. RefSeq lists it as uncharacterized. The record is from RefSeq and is a predicted model, not a curated record. NCBI's taxonomy places the organism in Eukaryota, Metazoa, Chordata, Actinopteri, Salmoniformes, Salmonidae. The transcript has 4 exons.
UAUGAACAAUAGAGAAAGAGACUAUAGAGAUUGGCUGGAUUUACCGUGUAUGAGCUGGAUUGUUUUGGACUUACCUGUUGGCGUUUGGACCUGGACCUACCGAGAACCCGAUUCGUGUACCGAACCCUGCUAUCCUUGACCUCGCCUACGGCCUGGGUGGACCAGGACAAACACACAGAACUACAGAUCACAAAAUGGCCGACCGCCAAAACUACAAGUCCCAGAAGCAAGGGGAACCCUCAGAAGGUGGAGCCGACUCACAGAUAAAGGGUCAAGAAAAACCAGGAAGAGGGAGAGAGAGUGCUGUAAGGAGCUAUGAACAAUAGAGAAAGAGACUAUAGAGAUUGGCUGGAUUUACCGUGUAUGAGCUGGAUUGUUUUGGACUUACCUGUUGGCGUUUGGACCUGGACCUACCGAGAACCCGAUUCGUGUACCGAACCCUGCUAUCCUUGACCUCGCCUACGGCCUGGGUGGACCAGGACAAACACACAGAACUACAGAUCACAAAAUGGCCGACCGCCAAAACUACAAGUCCCAGAAGCAAGGGGAACCCUCAGAAGGUGGAGCCGACUCACAGAUAAAGGGUCAAGAAAAACCAGGAAGAGGGAGAGAGAGUGCUGUAAGGAGCUAUGAACAAUAGAGAAAGAGACUAUAGAGAUUGGCUGGAUUUACCGUGUAUGAGCUGGAUUGUUUUGGACUUACCUGUUGGCGUUUGGACCUGGACCUACCGAGAACCCGAUUCGUGUACCGAACCCUGCUAUCCUUGACCUCGCCUACGGCCUGGGUGGACCAGGACAAACACACAGAACUACAGAUCACAAAAUGGCCGACCGCCAAAACUACAAGUCCCAGAAGCAAGGGGAACCCUCAGAAGGUGGAGCCGACUCACAGAUAAAGGGUCAAGAAAAACCAGGAAGAGGGAGAGAGAGUGCUGUAAGGAGCUAUGAACAAUAGAGAAAGAGACUAUAGAGAUUGGCUGGAUUUACCGUGUAUGAGCUGGAUUGUUUUGGACUUACCUGUUGGCGUUUGGACCUGGACCUACCGAGAACCCGAUUCGUGUACCG